CUCGUAGGCGGUUCGUCGCGUCCGGUGUGAAAGUCCAUCGCUUAACGGUGGAUCUGCGCCGGGUACGGGCGGGCUGGGAGUGCGGUAGGGGAGACUGGAAUUCCCGGUGUAACGGUGGAAUGUGUAGAUAUCGGGAAGAACACCAAUGGCGAAGGCAGGUCUCUGGGCCGUUACUGACGCUGAGGAGCGAAAGCGUGGGGAGCGAACA
This 208-nucleotide ribosomal RNA is filed under the name uncultured bacterium. RNAcentral describes it as "partial 16S ribosomal RNA". It matches the Rfam family "Bacterial small subunit ribosomal RNA", at positions 568 to 774 of the family's 1533-position model. The record is from RNAcentral.